Oncorhynchus tshawytscha (Chinook salmon) is the source of this 1704-nucleotide long non-coding RNA. NCBI's taxonomy places the organism in Eukaryota, Metazoa, Chordata, Actinopteri, Salmoniformes, Salmonidae. The record is from Ensembl.
ACGCUCUACAGUGAACUCUAAAAGACCAGAAAGAGGGGAAGUGUCUAAAACAAGAGCUUGUUUACAAGAAAAGGUCCCUCAGACUCUGGUCUGUGUAGCCAGGGCUUCCCUAUCUGUCUGCUCCUCAAGACAGGAGCACUGGGGCCCUGUUCAUUUGAUCGGGUCCCAGAAAUGUGAUAGAAAGGGCCACUCCUCUCCACGCCCACGAGCAAAAGCUGAAGAAUUUAGUUUUUUUAUUUUACAUUUCAAAAAUAUGGCAUCAUAAUUAGCACACAUAAAUAAACCAUAACUGGCCUGCAGUAUUUCUUAUUGUCCUGUAGAUGGUGUUGAAGAGAUGAGGAGAGAGGUGGUGGAAAAGAAUAGGUGGAAGGGAAGAGAAGGGGAGAGAGGUGGUGGACAGAAUAGGUGGACGAGAAGACAAGGGGACAGAGGUGGUAGACAGAAUAUGGAGAGAAGAGAGGCGGAACGACGUGGUGGACAGAAUAAGAGGGAAGAGAAGAAAGGCGGAGGGAGGUGGUGGACAGAAUAAGAGGGAAGAGAGGAGGAGGGAGGUGCUGCAAGGAAUAAGAGGGAAGAGAGGCGGAGGGAGGUGGUGGACAGAAUAAGAGGGAAGAGAGGAGGAGGGAGGUGCUGCAAGGAAUAAGAGGGAAGAGAAGAGAGGCGGAGGGAGGUGCUGGAUGGAAUAAGAGGGAAGAGAGGAGGAGGGAGGUGCUGCAAGGAAUAAGAGGGAAGAGAGGAGGACGGAGGUGCUGGAUGGAAUAAGAGGGAAGAGAGGCGGACGGAGGUGCUGGAUGGAAUAAGAGGGAAGAGAGGAGGACGGAGGUGCUGGAUGGAAUAGGAAGAAGAGAAGAGGGAAAGAGAAGAGGGGAAGAGGGAGGUGGAGGUGGAGGACAGAAUAGGCGGUGCUGGUUUCAAAAAGGCCCACACUUCUGAAGGGGGAUCUCAUUUACAUUGCCUUGAUUACCUGAGUCCUCCACUGAGGGAGUUUGAUUAACCUGAACCGUGGUGCACCGGGCUUUGUCCCGUGACGUGAACGGAUAAAAGGGGGAAAGGAGGGACAUCUUUCUUAACUCUACGUGCAUAACUUUCGUCACUUUUGUUGAAAGUGAGUCCCAGGAAGCAGCCUCUUCCAAAACGAAUGCAAUCAUUUUUCACGCAUGUUAACAUAAUUUUCAUUAGCAGGUGGCUGAAUCUCAACAGAGAAACCACCCGAGCGAGGAAAACACCCCUCUGUCUCAGGAUGUGUAGCCCAUGUGUCUGAUGCCGUCUGGACCAAAAUAGAAUAUAUAACAUGUUGCCGCCAUAGCAGUUGAUUGAUGCCAGCAAGCAUUUAGCCUCUCUUGAUAAAAACAUUAUAAAAUAAUUAGCUAAUCAGCGUUGAGCUGAAAUGUGGGUUGUCCUGGUGCAGCAAAACAGCCCCAAGGGAUACCCCAAUCAAAUCACAUCCUAAGAAAAAGGUAAUCUUCAUGAAAAACGUGUCUGUUUCUGGUCUGUUUGUGUUGAUGUCCUGCAGUAGCUACCUUGUGUUGAUGUCCUGCAGUAGCUAGCUUGUGUUGAUGUCCUGCAGUAGCAGGAGCAGGACCUGUAACACCACCCGAUGCUACAGGAAGGCCAUAAAGAUCAUCAAGGACAUCAACCACCCGAGCCACUGCCUGUUCACCCCGCUGUCAUCCAGAAGGCGAGGUCAGUACAGGUGCAUCAAAG